This 222-nucleotide long non-coding RNA is filed under the name Gossypium barbadense (sea-island cotton). RNAcentral describes it as "long non-coding RNA (GBAR_LNC004317)". The record is from RNAcentral. Lineage: Eukaryota; Viridiplantae; Streptophyta; Magnoliopsida; Malvales; Malvaceae.
GCUGUUACACUUAGUGGUGUCAGAGCUACGAUUUAGUCGGUUCUCAGGCUAAACGUAGCUGGUAUAGAGUAUAGAAUACAUGCCAUUUUAUAACAUGUGAUACUGUGAUAUCUUCUAACUUAAAUUAAUUAUGUUAAAAGAUGUCAUCCAACCGAGCUGAUUCCAAUUAGGUCGAAAGUAAUGUGCAAGCCUCCGUUCAAGAAGCAUCUAGUAGUGGGCCCG